Molecule: ribosomal RNA, 292 nt
Filed under: Proteomonas sulcata
Lineage: Eukaryota; Cryptophyceae; Pyrenomonadales; Geminigeraceae
Description: partial Bacterial small subunit ribosomal RNA
Rfam family: Bacterial small subunit ribosomal RNA
Source: RNAcentral
GUUUGAUCAUGGCUCAGAUUGAACGCUGGCGGCAGGCUUAACACAUGCAAGUCGAGCGGGGAAGGGUAGCUUGCUACCUGACCUAGCGGCGGACGGGUGAGUAAUGCUUAGGAAUCUGCCCAGUAGUGGGGGAUAGCCCGGGGAAACCCGGAUUAAUACCGCAUACGUCCUACGGGAGAAAGCAGGGGAUCUUCGGACCUUGCGCUACUGGAUGAGCCUAAGUCGGAUUAGCUAGUUGGUGGGGUAAAGGCCUACCAAGGCGACGAUCCGUAGCUGGUCUGAGAGGAUGAUC